This 274-nucleotide ribosomal RNA is filed under the name uncultured bacterium. RNAcentral's name for it is "partial 16S ribosomal RNA". It matches the Rfam family "Bacterial small subunit ribosomal RNA", at positions 523 to 796 of the family's 1533-position model. The record is from RNAcentral.
AUACGGGGGGUGCUAGCGUUAUUCGGAAUUAUUGGGCGUAAAGGGUGUGUAGACGGCGCAUUAAGUCAACUGUUAAAUUCUCCGGCCUAACUGGAGGUCAGCGGUAGAAACUGGUGUGCUAGAGGGUGAGAGAGAGAAGUGGAAUUCUCGGAGUAGCGGUAAAAUGCGUAGAUCUCGAGAGGAACACCGAUGGCGAAGGCAGCUUCUUGGCUCAUUCCUGACGUUGAGACACGAAAGCGUGGGGAGCAAACAGGAUUAGAAACCCCGGUAGUCC